Long non-coding RNA from Oncorhynchus nerka (sockeye salmon), 408 nucleotides. RefSeq lists it as uncharacterized. The record is from RefSeq and is a predicted model, not a curated record. The transcript has 3 exons. Lineage: Eukaryota; Metazoa; Chordata; Actinopteri; Salmoniformes; Salmonidae.
CCCUGUCUCUAGGUACGUGUCUCGUUAUCACGCGAAGGACUCUGCGCGCCACGUGGUCCUGGGCACUCAGCAGUUCCAGCCCACUGAGUUUGCCAGCCAGAUCAACUUGAGCAUGGAGAACGCCUGGGGUAUCCUACGCUGUGUCAUCGACAUCUGCCGCAAGCUGGAGGAGGGCAAGUACCUCAUCCUCAAGGACCCCAACAAGCAAGUGAUUCGCGUGUAUAGCUUGCCUGACGGAACCUUCAGCUCAGAUGAAGAUGAGGAAGAAGAUGAUGAUGACGAUGAAGAGGAUGAGGAGGAGGAAGAUGAACAAGAACCCUAAGGUGUGGCAAUUGCACUAGUUACCAGGUGGCCUGCAUCACACAGAAAAUCUUCCUCGUUACAUUCAAAUAAAGAUCUGAGAUACUG